AGGCAACUUCAUAAACACUUUGGAAACGUCGGACUGCCAAGAUCUCCAAUCACAUUCAUUGCUGCGACGUUCGACAGCCAAUCACUGUGCACAGAUCUUCAGCGCCGUCCAGAAUUUCCAGCAUUUAACCAGCCACAGCAAAGAAUUGUUGGAGUAGCGACUAAUCUUGACCCGUCAGAUACACGACCGUUCUUUUGUUACAGUAAGCUUGCAAGCAGAGCAACGAGACGGUCAGUAUUUAGGGGCUUUCUUUCUUACAACAUUUCUUCUGCUAAACCAUCGUGCUGUAUGCUUCAUUUAAGAGUCCGUGGUGCAUCGGUGUGUUUGAGCUUGUUUAAAAGCUCAUUGGCUUUAGAACGUAUGCUGUUUUCACAGUGUCUGCGUUCCAUUUUAGAUAAAAACACAGUUAUUGGGUGAGUACAGGUGUGUUUUUUUAUUUUGCUUCUUAUUAUAUCAUAGUUGCAUGUAAUCGGAGCGAUGCUAGAGAUAACAGCAACGAUACAAAGGUACACCAAGGUAAGGUUUGUGUGCACAGUGCGGUCGAACUGUAUCAUGUUACAUAAAAAAAAAGUUAAGAAAGGUUGUGGAUGGAAAAGGGCCAAUUGCGUGUGCCCCACUUGGGAUUGUGAUUGAGUACACGUUGCAUUGGGUGCGUAAACAUGGAGCCGGCGUUGAAAAGCGUGAGUUGGCAGCAGUGGGAUUCGAACCCACGCCUCCGAAGAGACUGGAGCCUAAAUCCAGCGCCUUAGACCGCUCGGCCAUGCUACCCUGGCGAAGAUGGUGCUCGUUUUGGAAUAAGAUGGUGUUCUGAGUUUUGCAGAAGUCAACAACACGCUUUUCUUCUUCAGACUGGUUUUUAAAUGAAAGUUAAAGAGAAUGCUGGAUUUUGAAGUGUUUACUGUGCACCUCGAGCAUACACACCAAACCCCCUGGUGUAAAUCCUUAAGUUGGCAGCGGUGGGAUUCGAACCCACGCCCCUGAAGAGACUGGAGCCUUAAUCCAGCGCCUUAGACCGCUCGGCCACGCUACCCCAGAAAGCUUUGAAAGUAGUACGGGACUCGGCAGAUGAUUGUCGCUCCCUUGCCUGAUGCCGCUAAUAUUGAAAUGUUAAUGGUAGGGGGUGGCUCUGCUGCCAGGUAUAAAUUCCGCCAAUUAAUGCCAUUAUGCUUGUAAGUUUGAAUUAGACAGGGUUCAUAAAAUCAAACAAACAAAAUUAUUAGCAUAUACGUAUAUGUGUGUGUUUAUUGCUAUAUCUUUGCGUUUUUCUCGUACAAAACAAGUUACACUUCCAAGGCCAAUCUUAACAACCACAUUUCCUCAUGAACAUAGCCAAUUUUCCCAAGAGGAGAGGAAGAUCUCAAGAUACAGGACAAAACCCCCACACGUUUUAUUUGAAGUCUUAUGAACUCAACACCAGAAGGUGGCGGUAUUUCCUAAGGCAACUUCAUAAACACUUUGGAAACGUCGGACUGCCAAGAUCUCCAAUCACAUUCAUUGCUGCGACGUUCGACAGCCAAUCACUGCACAGAUCUUCAGCGCCGUCCAGAAUUUCCAGCAUUUAACCAGCCACAGCAAAGAAUUGUUGGAGUAGCGACUAAUCUUGACCCGUCAGAUACACGACCGUUCUUUUGUUACAGUAAGCUUGCAAGCAGAGCAACGAGACGGGUGUGUUCCUUACCUUUCCUGCCCAAGCUGUUUUCCAAUGUCCUCCGCAACUCUUAUCAGGAUUCACUAUUCGAAACCUAGUAAAUAAAUGUUGUUUUGGAAUAAGAUGGUGUUCUGAGUUUUGCAGAAGUCAACAACACGCUUUUCUUCUUCAGACUGGUUUUUAAAUGAAAGUUAAAGAGAAUGCUGGAUUUUGAAGUGUUUACUGUGCACCUCGAGCAUACACACCAAACCCCCUGGUGUAAAUCCUUAAGUUGGCAGCGGUGGGAUUCGAACCCACGCCCCCGAAGAGACUGGAGCCUUAAUCCAGCGCCUUAGACCGCUCGGCCACGCUACCCCAGAAAGCUUUGAAAGUAGUACGGGACUCGGCAGAUGAUUGUCGCUCCCUUGCCUGAUGCCGCUAAUAUUGAAAUGUUAAUGGUAGGGGGUGGCUCUGCUGCCAGGUAUAAAUUCCGCCAAUUAAUGCCAUUAUGCUUGUAAGUUUGAAUUAGACAGGGUUCAUAAAAUCAAACAAACAAAAUUAUUAGCAUAUACGUAUAUGUGUGUGUUUAUUGCUAUAUCUUUGCGUUUUUCUCGUACAAAACAAGUUACACUUCCAAGGCCAAUCUUAACAACCACAUUUCCUCAUGAACAUAGCCAAUUUUCCCAAGAGGAGAGGAAGAUCUCAAGAUACAGGACAAAACCCCCACACGUUUUAUUUGAAGUCUUAUGAACUCAACACCAGAAGGUGACGGUAUUUCCUAAGGCAACUUCAUAAACACUUUGGAAAUGUCGGACUGCCAAGAUCUCCAAUCACAUUCAUUGCUGCGACGUUCGACAGCCAAUCACUGUGCACAGAUCUUCAGCGCCGUCCAGAAUUUCCAGCAUUUAACCAGCCACAGCAAAGAAUUGUUGGAGUAGCGACUAAUCUUGACCCGUCAGAUACACGACCGUUCUUUUGUUACAGUAAGCUUGCAAGCAGAGCAACGAGACGGGUGUGUUCCUUACCUUUCCUGCCCAAGGUGUGCAACUCUUAUCAGGAUUCACUGUUCGAAACCUAGUAAAUAAAUGUUGUUUUGGAAUAAGAUGGUGUUGAUGGAGUGUUGCAGGAGUCAACAACACGCUUUUCUUCUUCAGACUGGUUUUUAAAUGAAAGUCAAAGAGAAGGCAGGAUAUGAAGAGUUUACCAUGCUGAUCAAGCAUCAGUGCACACCAAGCCUCUUCUUGCAAACCCUAAAGUUGGCAGCGGUGGUAUUCGAACCCACACCCCCUAAGAGACUGGAUACUAAAUACAGCACCUUACACCACUCGGCCACGCUAACCAAUAAGCAUUAAAGGUAUGGGACUCGGGAGAUGAAAGCAGUCAGUGAUUGCCCCUCCCUUGCUUGAUGCUUCUAAUAUUGAAAUGUUAAUGGUAGGGUGUGGCUGUGCUGCCAUGUAUAAAUUCCGCCAAUCAAUGCCACUAUGCUUGUAAGUUUGAUUUAGACAGGGUUCAUGAAAGGGUUCAUAAAACGUGUUUCCUCUGGGUACUACGAUUUCUUUCCACUUCAAAACCAUGCAAAUGUUGGACUGGUGGUUGUAAGAGAAUGAGUGAGUGUGUGUGUGUUUGUUUUUCUUUUCACUUGCCUAGAGUUGUGAUUAGGGUGUGUAAUGCCUUGCAUUGUUAUCAUAUCAGGAUGAAUAAAUCAAUGCCCUAAA
This is a long non-coding RNA of Trichomycterus rosablanca, 3342 nucleotides long. RefSeq lists it as uncharacterized. The transcript has 3 exons. Lineage: Eukaryota; Metazoa; Chordata; Actinopteri; Siluriformes; Trichomycteridae. The record is from RefSeq and is a predicted model, not a curated record.